Molecule: long non-coding RNA, 1788 nt
Organism: Xenopus laevis (African clawed frog)
Lineage: Eukaryota; Metazoa; Chordata; Amphibia; Anura; Pipidae
Exons: 3
Source: RefSeq, a predicted model, not a curated record
GAUCCUAACUCCCACAACAAUGUAGCAGAGGCUAGUGGAUUGAUAAUAAAUCUGUAGGAGAUCUGAUAGCUAAACAGGAAGGGAUAAACAAAUAUUGCUUUCAAUUGCAAUUUCCUAGACAACAGAAUCGUCAUCCCUGCAAUAACUAAAUAUAUCAUAGUGUUUUGGGAGGAAACCAUAAGGGCAAUUUAAAAACUAUAUAUUAAUGAUUUAAAAAAAAAGUGUUGCCUUGUGCUUUAAAUAUAGGUGUGUAAAAUACAUCAAGGCAAUACUAUUGGGUAUGUGUUUUGCAGACUGGAACCUAAUAAAAGUCUUGCUAUACUGUACAUGUUAGAUCCUGUGAUCAUAAUAAAAUAUGGAUUUAAACAGAUAUGGUAUAAUAUUUACUAGACAUCCAGUGGUGGAAUUAAUGGGGUAUCUGGAGGCUUAACCGCCAUGUGGCUUGAUGUAAUUAGAGCUCAAGAUAAGGAGGAUGGUGGGCAUCUUUAAAAAUGCCUCUGCUGGGCAUGAAUGGUCAGAUAUGAUUAUAUAGAUGAAUUGAUCUAAGAGUGCCAGUCACUUGUAGCACAUAGCAACAAGCUACCUUCUGUUUGCCACAGCGCAGGCUUUGGGGUGCACCAACCUAACCAAGGACCUCCAUAAAAAAUUCUGUUCUUGUGUGCUCUUGCUAAAAAACAUAUUCAAUGCAUCACAGGGGUUAAGUACAUAAACACACAUUGCCUUAACAGGGAAAUUGCUGAAAUGAUAACUACAGAUAUUACCAAGAGUCUAAAAAAGGAGCGAGGAUCUCUGGAGCCGAGCAUCUAUGACGUAGGAGCGGAGCAUCUCUCCAAACACAAGAGUCUCUUGAAGUUUCAUCAAACAAGAAAUUUCAUAAAUCUCCUUUUCAUGCGAAGCCAUUUGCUGAGCGAAACGCUGCAACCUUCUUACUCAUGACAAACACACUCAAAGGGCUCUCAAUCUGCACACAAACUCAGUGUGGGAAGAGUAUUGUCAUUAAGGUGUAUAAAUUGAAGCUGGGAAUUUGGCUGCAGGUCAUUGUGCUGGAUGAUAAGACAGGAGUGGGACAGAGCUGCAAAGAGAACACUGAAUCAUAAGGAUGAAAGACUCACAGUUGGUAUUUGUCACCAUGAUAUCUUUAGUUAUUGCUUGUGUGAUGGCUCAGUCGUCCAGGGAAGGUGAAUGGAAGUCAUUGGAAAACCCAUACAACAGAGAUCUGUUUUUCAAGUUCUUGAAAUCCUAUAUUAUUGGGAGGGGAAGCCACCUGAUGAACCCAGGGACAAUGGAUAAAGCUGUGAAUGACUUGCGGAGUAACACAGAUUCAAAGUAUGGCAACCUACAGAGGAUUCUGGACAACAAUGAAAUAGCCAAUACCUAAACCUCAACAUCUGCCAAACCUUCAUGUUCUAACAACUGUAAAUGUAAGGGAACGGCUCGCAACAUCACCCGACCAAGCACUUUUAAAAGACACUUUUUGCUGUUAUGUUUAGUCUUAGGUAGAAACAGAUAUACAGUGCAAAAAAGUACUUUUUGUUUGGAACUAAUAAUAAAACUUGUACAUACAUGUUGUGUCCCAGUAUUAAAAAAGGAUUAUAAAAUUAUUUGGCCCAGUAUCAUAUAAACUCUGUAAAUCCUUUGAUUAUAAUUUAAUUACUAAUGCUCAUAUGAAUUAGCUCUACAUAUUAAGUGUUGCAGCAUUAACACUGGCGAUGCAUAGAUCAAAGAGCCACUAUAGUGAUUAUAUAGCCAGGGCCAUAAUUUUCAAUCUACAGCACUUGAAGGAUUAAA